UUGAACCAUCAUUAUUAC
RNAcentral lists this small nuclear RNA (18 nucleotides) under Arabidopsis thaliana (thale cress). RNAcentral describes it as "snRNA_19151". The record is from RNAcentral. Lineage: Eukaryota; Viridiplantae; Streptophyta; Magnoliopsida; Brassicales; Brassicaceae.